AGAUUGAACUGGCAAUUCUGCGGUUUCCGUACGAUUCCUGGGGGACGCCGUUCCAGCAGCUCAAACAGGUGGUGGAAGAGCCAUCUCCACAGCUCCCGGCGGACAAGUUCUCAGCUGAGUUUGUUGAUUUUACCUCACUGUGCUUGAAGAAGAAUUCCAAAGAAAGGCCAACAUAUCCUGAGCUAAUGCAACACCAUUUCUUCACCCUGCACGAAUCCAAAGAGACAGAUGUGGCUUCUUUUGUCAAGCUCAUCCUGGGAAAUUGAGAAAUGGACUUGUACAUGAUUUUUCCCUUCUGUGGACUGGUGGGUUUAGGAGGAAGGGUGCGUGGUGGGAUGCCACAUCACAUGAGAAAACCAGUAGGGCAGCCUGCCACUGGUCACUUUGUCAGGGGCGUGUGUGUAAAACCUUAGCCCUCUCCGUAUGAAGGCUUUUUAAAGGGUUCUUUGGUAUCCAUAGUGACAUAGAAUGAACUGGUUAGUGAAAUGAAUUUUAAUAAGGUUGUCAACCAUAAAAAAGUACAAAAACAUUUAAUGAGUGAUUUAAAUAAUGACAGUCAAGAGUUCUCUAACAGUCUUCUCUGCUCCCCCAUUUCUUGUUCCCUGUCAAUCCUAAUUUGCUUUUGUUUCUGGUAAUAGGUGCUACGGUAGUUAUGAAGUUCUAUGUAGAGUUAUAUUUUUCCCUUACCAUUAUUUUAAUAUUUAUGUUAAGUGCUUGAUUUUAAUAGACUCUUUUGUUUUGUUUUUAUGUGAGAGUUGAGUGUGGAUGGUAAUAACAGCUAUAACAGCUGAAGCUACAAAGAUGAGUAUUUAUAGGACUUUGCUGGGAGGAGGAGGGGGAGGUGGUGUGGGCCAUAUAGAUAUAUAGGAGGUGGAAGACUAAUUUAAAUUCAAGAAAGAGUUUGGCUUACAUGUCAGCCCAGUGAUACCUGAGGUGGUGUGCAUAAUCUUUAGGAGAUGGUCUUAUUUUUAACAGCACAUCGAGAGGAUGCAAAUAUCCAGUAAUUUGUGGUGAUUUAUGAUCCUGCUGGUUUGUUUUAUAUUUGUAGUCUUCAAUGAAUAAAAAUUUCCAGAAGGGUGAGAUCCCUUCAGGGGAUCUGGGAUUAUCAGUGGAAAUACAUACAGUGUAUUGGAAAUCAAGAGCAACAUACAGUAAUCAUUUGACCACUGGCUAAGUAAUCACCCCAUGAUCUACAAUCAAGCAGAUGUCCUCUCUAUUUUGUAUGUAAGCCAUGGAUCAUUCCUUUUAGAUGACUGGGAAGGAGAAUGGAAGAAAGAGAGAUGGCAUGAGGAUUAAAAAAAAAUCAGCAUGGGGGCAUUAUCGAGUACCAGGGGCGUAUCACUUUUAUGUUGCUAAUUUUAUGUUGGCAAGAGUAACCGAAGCUUGUCUUGGAAAGUUCAGGUUCACAGAUAAUACCCAUAUUUGUCUCCCUCCCAGCCCCACUACUAAUUUUCUUUCUGGAGGAGGGCCUGUGUGUCUCUGGCACUGGUUUAAAGGGUCUCCACCUGAAAAGCCAAGGAGAAGCAAAUGAAUAGGAGCUACGCAAUAUGUGCUACAUUUGUUAUCUCUCUCUGUCUCUCUCUCUCUCUUUUAAAGAAACACAGCUCCAGCACGUACUUUUGCCUUAAGCUCCCCUUGGUUGCAGCCAUGUUGUGACGAUGGUAGCUUGCCUUGAUCUCUUGCUUUGCUACACACCCCUGUUUGUUUAGGACAUAGAGCAAGACCAGAGUCCUGCUUGAUGGAAGUGAGUGCAUUUGUGCAAGAGCUGCUUUUGCUUGGGAAAUGUUUCUGUUUCCUAAUAAUUAUGAAAUAUGGCAAUACGUAUUUGUCACACAAUGGUAAGGUUGGUGUCGAUGAUGAAGGAAAAUGUUGGUAUUCCUGCUAGUACAUGAAGCCCCAUAUGCACUGUCCAUCCUCCAGUACAGGACAAUACAGCAAUGUGAAGUAACUUUUGUUCCAAAGCAUUAGUAUUAACCAUGCAGGUUUUGUCAGAGAAGGGCCAUCCUGUUUUCCUGCAGCUCACAUUUUACUACAUAACCGGUCUUUGCGCGUAUGUCCACUGGAAAGCAACCAGGAGACAUUUAACUGCAGACAAAACACUAAAUGGGCUCAGAUUUCAAUGCAGUCUUAAAGGCCUAGAAUGGCUUGUAACCUGCCCCUAGUUUUCCAUUUUAUGAGCAUGGUUCCUCCCUCAACACCACCCCCCCGCAUUGGUUCCGAGCGGCUUUGAUUGAUUGUCUUCAGCUGCAGCUAACACACAGCCAGACGGUUAUUAGAACUAGUUCCAGCAUCAAUUCUCACUUUGAAAAACAUGACAUUUAAAACCCGCUUUUUGGUUUUCCUACAUAUGGAUCCGAUGCUUGCUGUAGAGAUUGUUUUUGCUCUUUUUUCUUUUGGAAUAGUGAGACUCAUUUGGACACCACAUCCUCUUGACCUCAGAACACCUUUAUUUGAGUGCUGUGGUAACAAACAGGGUGGAUUUAUGAGAUAGGAUCAGUGUUAAUAGCAGAUAUUAAUGCUCCCAUUGGUUUCCAAUAGUAGGAUAAUGCCAGUGCUGUCUGCAGUAUGUCAGUCUAGAAAGAUUAUUGCUCUGUGAAUCAACACUACAUGCUUCAAGCUUUUUUUCAGGAAUUAAAAUGUGGAUUCUGAGUUCCUUAAUCACUCAGUUCCUCUUGAGUUCUUUUGUCAACUCUGUCUUAGUAUAUUUCAUCUGGGCAGGUGCAAGACCCUCAUAGAAUGCUAGAAUACAGCACAGCCAAGCUAUUUGACCCUUCUAAUCAAAACUUAAAACAUGUGUUUUUGUUACGUUAAAGGCUGCAUACUGUGAUAGUGAACAGCAUUUCUGUGGUGUUUUUCAGUACUUAAGGUGCCAUCCCAAUUCUUAUUCUAAAGGAUGUCCAGUAAAAGGGGGAGAGGAAAUACUGUUUGCGUAGUCCACAGGUAGCACAGCGAAAAUCAUGGUGUUAAAUUACAGCAGCCUUUCCCAGACUGGCACCUCCAGAUGUUUUGGGCUUUAGAGCCCACCAGCCAGGUUGGGGAAGUCUGGAUUACAGAAAUGAAGAGUCAGGUUUACACAUUAGAAUUGUGUUGAUAUAAACAUACACAGAAGCACACAUGCACACAUAUGCAUACAUAUACACAUACUGUUCUGCAAUGAAACACACUGCCCAAGGAAACUAAAUCUGCAUUCCAGGAAGCAGAAUCUUGCUAGGCAUCCACUGGAUAGAGUUGUAUUUUAUAUAGAAUAAGAUGCCUCUUGGCAGGGAAGAUUUGACACAAGCAGUCAUUGGCUUCGUUCUCCAGUAUUCCACUUUGAUCCUAUAAACAAAGUGGAGGUUGAAAGAAUGUUUGCUGCAGGACCUUAGGUGUUUGAAAUUGAUCGUAGUUAAGCUCAACCUGAGGAUGCAGCUGGGACUACUCUAGUGAGAUUUAACUGUUCUGGUAGGCAUGGUGGAAAAAUGAAUGGAGAUGCUGGGAGUACAUUCAGUAUAUCCUUUAAAACUGCUAACUUGCGAGCAAGAAGGAGCCAGCCAGAGCCCAUGUGUGGAGCAGAAUCCUAUUACUGACACUAGCAUAUUUGGCCAUGCAUGAUAGCAAGCUGAUAAACGUUGCUUUCUCAGAGCACAGGGCACUGAUGUUAUUGCUAACCAUCCUAUUUUGGAUUGCAUUUCGUGGAACAUUGUGAAGCAUUAACAUUGUCUGUUUAUGAGUACUACUUGGAACUGUGAAGAAAAGGGGUAACUUUGAAGCUUGUGCACAUACUCUGUUUUGCCCUCUUUCUUGGUGAACCAAGAGGUAAUUGUUGCAUUCUGUCAUCUCAUGCCACACCACUUGAUGAUUUCCUACUUUUAAAUGUAGACCAUGAUAGCAUAACUCUUUCCUCAAUUAAAAAAGAACAAAAAACCAAAACCAAAUCACAA
Molecule: long non-coding RNA, 3920 nt
Organism: Varanus komodoensis (Komodo dragon)
Lineage: Eukaryota; Metazoa; Chordata; Lepidosauria; Squamata; Varanidae
Exons: 3
Source: RefSeq, a predicted model, not a curated record